Molecule: transfer RNA, 72 nt
Filed under: Camelus bactrianus (Bactrian camel)
Lineage: Eukaryota; Metazoa; Chordata; Mammalia; Artiodactyla; Camelidae
Also listed under: 3 other names
Rfam family: tRNA
About the family: Transfer RNA (tRNA) molecules are approximately 80 nucleotides in length. Their secondary structure includes four short double-helical elements and three loops (D, anti-codon, and T loops).
Source: Rfam by way of RNAcentral
GAGGGUAUCACUUAGUGGCAGAGUGCGGGCCUAGCAUGCAUAAGGUCCUGGGUUCAAUCCCCAGUACCCUCC